GCCCCCGUAGCUCAGUGGAUAGAGCGAUCCCCUCCUAAAGACAAUUGGGCAGCGGCUGCCGAAAGGCGCCGCGUGAAUGGAGUCAAAUUCGGUGAACCCUGACAGCGCCUGGUCGUGACGACCGCGCGGCUGCUGGCAAUACCGAGCCAAGCCGGCUUCCGUGAGGACGCCGGAAGGUGUAGAGACUAGACGGCUCCGGUCUAAAGGCCAGUGCAUCAAUGGCACUGCCCACGAUCAAGGUAUAGUCCAGACCACAAACAGACUCUGGUGGCGAAAGCCAUAGUGGUAUGAAGGGAUAGGUCACACGUUCGAUCCGUGUCGGGGGCACCA
RNAcentral lists this transfer RNA (330 nucleotides) under Herbaspirillum frisingense. Its description in RNAcentral is "tRNA-Arg". The record is from RNAcentral. Lineage: Bacteria; Pseudomonadati; Pseudomonadota; Betaproteobacteria; Burkholderiales; Oxalobacteraceae.